ACUGCACACAAAACCCAAAGACCAUUGUGCUGCCUCCUCGGUGGUCUUGUCUGCUGUGCACAUAGUGACAGGACCUUGUCGCCUUUCUUGGGCUGAUGUGCCCCUGGAAGUGAACUACAGGGUCCGACAAAU
Small nucleolar RNA from Hyla sarda, 132 nucleotides. RefSeq annotates it as small nucleolar RNA SNORA68. The record is from RefSeq and is a predicted model, not a curated record. The transcript has a single exon. Lineage: Eukaryota; Metazoa; Chordata; Amphibia; Anura; Hylidae.